This 357-nucleotide unclassified non-coding RNA is filed under the name soil metagenome. RNAcentral describes it as "partial contains 5.8S ribosomal RNA, internal transcribed spacer 2, and large subunit ribosomal RNA". The stretch from base 1 to 120 matches the Rfam family "5.8S ribosomal RNA", at positions 35 to 154 of the family's 154-position model. The record is from RNAcentral.
GAUGAAGAACGCAGCGAAAUGCGAUAAGUAAUGUGAAUUACAGAAUUCAGUGAAUCAUCGAAUCUUUGAACGCACAUUGCGCCCGCUGGUAUUCCGGCGGGCAUGCCUGUUCGAGCGUCAUUUCAACCCUCAAGCUCUCCGGAGUUUGGUGUUGGGGCGCCUGGGGCUUUUCGACCUCAGGGCCCUCAAGUCCAUCGGCGGGACCGCCAGGACACUGAGCGCAGUAGUAUUAUUUCGCUCGGUAGGAUCUUCCACGGCGGGUCGAUCUGGCCGCUAAACCCCCCAAUUCUCACCAAAGGUUGACCUCGGAUCAGGUAGGAAUACCCGCUGAACUUAAGCAUAUCAAUAAGCGGAGGA